AGCAGCCACGGUAAUACAGAGGGUGCGAGCGUUAAUCGGAUUUACUGGGCGUAAAGCGUGCGUAGGCGGCUUCUUAAGUCGGAUGUGAAAUCCCUGAGCUUAACUUAGGAAUUGCAUUCGAUACUGGGAAGCUAGAGUAUGGGAGAGGAUGGUAGAAUUCCAGGUGUAGCGGUGAAAUGCGUAGAGAUCUGGAGGAAUACCGAUGGCGAAGGCAGCCAUCUGGCCUAAUACUGACGCUGAGGUACGAAAGCAUGGGGAGCAAACAGGAUUAGAUACCCCAGUAGUCCCUGUCUCUUAUACA
Molecule: ribosomal RNA, 301 nt
Filed under: uncultured bacterium
Lineage: Bacteria
Description: partial 16S ribosomal RNA
Rfam family: Bacterial small subunit ribosomal RNA
Source: RNAcentral